UUAUUCUUUCUGUACACUUCAAUACAAUCCGAUUCGAUAUGAAAAAAAAUAAAAAUUUGUGUACAUCUGGUUUAGUUACUAACCUUUAAUUUUUUACCUGUUUGUAGAUGAUAACUUUUAUCAUUAAACAUAGAUAACGUUUAUAUAUAUUUGGAGUAGUUUUUGUUAUUAACGGACUAACUUGUAAUCAUUUUAGGACAAUAGUACUAUGAACAUACAAUAUUUGUUGUACAUCCGAUUUCUUACAAAAAAAAAAAAAAAAAAGGGUGUAAAAUAAUUCAUUUUUAAUUAAUUUGAAUUUAUUUUUAUUCCAAUAAUAAACUACCACCUAAUAGGAUUAGCAAGUUGCAAUCCACUAUUAACCAUUUUAAUAUUUCAUCGGAUCAUUGAUCAAAAAAAAGAAAAAAUAAAAAAUUCAUCGGAUCAUAUUAGAUCUUUAAUUUAUUAACAUUGACUUAUUACUCCCAAGUAAAAUUCCCUAAAGCUAUAAAGAACCGAAGGGACAAGUACUCCACAUUUAUUUCCAAUAAAUUUAAAAUAAAAACACCAUCAUCCUCAACACCUGAAUCUUCUCCACAUUUAUUUUCAAUAAAAAUGAAAAAGAAACACCAUUAUCCUCAACUCCACAACGCCAAAUUCUCCUCCAAUACCCGCGAAAUGGUGAAUUAUUUUUGGCUCGAAAAAGUUUCCACCAUGAAUCAGCAGUUACUCCACUUUUCAGUUGUUAAUCUCACUAUACAACACACUAAUCACCUUAAAAUCAUCAUACCCUCAAUCGGUUAUUCAUCUCCUUCCUUUCUACUCAUCAGGAAGUAGCUAGGGAAUUCAUGGUGAGGGAUGAUGGUCUUGUUUUGAAUGAUAAGGUAGCCAGACACUUGUUUUUUAGGCUUAUUUUAGGCUUGUGAGAUUGCUCUAGGACCAUGAAUGUACAAUGAGAAUUCAUUGCAAGAGGAUGGAAAUUACCCUUCUGUGGAUUAACUUAAAAAGAAUCUUCAAAUUGCAGAUGGUAUUCAAUAAUGAAAAGGAUUAUCAUUGUAAAAGAGGAUUUUUUGUAAAAAGAAGCAGUGCCUAUCGAAUUCAGCUUCCCAGUGUGGCAGUGUUUAAAUGCCUCAACUAAGUACUCAUGGUUAACUAUGAUUCUUGUGUUCUAUAUCAGGCUAAGAGAGCUCUAAGAGCAUUGAAAGGAUUGGUAAGACUGCAAGCACUUGUCAGAGGGCAUGCUGUGAGAAAGCAAGCUGCUAUAAUUCUUCGUUGUAUGCAAGCUUUAGUGAGAGUUCAAGCUCGGGUGCGAGCAAGGCGUGUGCGUUUGGCUUUAGAAAGUCAAACUAAACAGCAGAAAGCUCAUCAACAACUUCUACAGGAGGCAUGUAUUCGAGAAAUAGAGGUGAUUACUUGCUCUAUUGUCAACGUCUAUUAUCUCUUUGGUUGUUUUGAUUGGGACUGGGAUCUGGCAAUCUAAAAAUAUUAUUAAUCAGACCUUUGUAACCUUAAUUCCUCUUAGGCAACCAUCAUUACUUGGAUCGAUUUCAUGGUUUAAUAGUAACCAUGGGAUUAUACUAUACAUGAGGCUAAAUCUAUCCAACAUUUGAAAAAAAAAGCAAUUUAAGAAAUCUCUGUUUAUUGACCCCUGCUUA
This is a long non-coding RNA of Chenopodium quinoa (quinoa), 1634 nucleotides long. RefSeq lists it as uncharacterized. NCBI's taxonomy places the organism in Eukaryota, Viridiplantae, Streptophyta, Magnoliopsida, Caryophyllales, Amaranthaceae. The transcript has 3 exons. The record is from RefSeq and is a predicted model, not a curated record.